RNAcentral lists this ribosomal RNA (489 nucleotides) under Brettanomyces bruxellensis. RNAcentral's name for it is "eukaryotic LSU rRNA". It matches the Rfam family "Eukaryotic large subunit ribosomal RNA", at positions 90 to 592 of the family's 3401-position model. Lineage: Eukaryota; Fungi; Ascomycota; Pichiomycetes; Pichiales; Pichiaceae. The record is from RNAcentral.
CGAAUGAAGCGGCAAGAGCCCAAAUUUGAAAUCGGGCAACCGAGUUGUAAUUUGGAGACGGGACACUAGAGAGGAGGAAGGCGAUUAAGUGCCUUGGAACAGGCUGCCGUAGAGGGUGAGAGCCCCGUGAAUCGCUGGAGACCGAUCGAUUAGUGCCCGCCGAAGAGUCGAGUUGUUUGGGAAUGCAGCUCUAAGCGGGUGGUAUAUUCCAUCUAAGGCUAAAUAUUAGCGAGAGACCGAUAGCAAACAAGUACAGUGAUGGAAAGAUGAAAAGAACUUUGGAAAGAGAGUGAAAUAGUACGUGAAAUUGUUGAAAGGGAAGGGUAUUUGAUCCGACAUGGUGUUUAGCAGCGGCCCGUUCCUCGUGGAUGGGUGCACCUGGUUUACACUGGGCCAGCAUCGGUUCUGGGAGCCAUAUACGGGGUUCGUGAAUGUGGCCCUUCGAUUCUGUCGGAGGGUGUUAUAGCGCGGGCAUCUUGUGGCUAGCCG